This 1459-nucleotide ribosomal RNA is filed under the name uncultured organism. Its description in RNAcentral is "SSU rRNA". It matches the Rfam family "Bacterial small subunit ribosomal RNA". The record is from RNAcentral.
CGCUGGCGGCAGGCCUAACACAUGCAAGUCGAGCGGUAGCACAGAGAGCUUGCUCUCGGGUGACGAGCGGCGGACGGGUGAGUAAUGUCUGGGAAACUGCCUGAUGGAGGGGGAUAACUACUGGAAACGGUAGCUAAUACCGCAUAAUGUCGCAAGACCAAAGUGGGGGACCUUCGGGCCUCAUGCCAUCAGAUGUGCCCAGAUGGGAUUAGCUAGUAGGUGGGGUAACGGCUCACCUAGGCGACGAUCCCUAGCUGGUCUGAGAGGAUGACCAGCCACACUGGAACUGAGACACGGUCCAGACUCCUACGGGAGGCAGCAGUGGGGAAUAUUGCACAAUGGGCGCAAGCCUGAUGCAGCCAUGCCGCGUGUGUGAAGAAGGCCUUCGGGUUGUAAAGCACUUUCAGCGGGGAGGAAGGCGGUGAGGUUAAUAACCUCACCGAUUGACGUUACCCGCAGAAGAAGCACCGGCUAACUCCGUGCCAGCAGCCGCGGUAAUACGGAGGGUGCAAGCGUUAAUCGGAAUUACUGGGCGUAAAGCGCACGCAGGCGGUCUGUCAAGUCGGAUGUGAAAUCCCCGGGCUCAACCUGGGAACUGCAUUCGAAACUGGCAGGCUAGAGUCUUGUAGAGGGGGGUAGAAUUCCAGGUGUAGCGGUGAAAUGCGUAGAGAUCUGGAGGAAUACCGGUGGCGAAGGCGGCCCCCUGGACAAAGACUGACGCUCAGGUGCGAAAGCGUGGGGAGCAAACAGGAUUAGAUACCCUGGUAGUCCACGCCGUAAACGAUGUCGAUUUGGAGGUUGUGCCCUUGAGGCGUGGCUUCCGGAGCUAACGCGUUAAAUCGACCGCCUGGGGAGUACGGCCGCAAGGUUAAAACUCAAAUGAAUUGACGGGGGCCCGCACAAGCGGUGGAGCAUGUGGUUUAAUUCGAUGCAACGCGAAGAACCUUACCUGGUCUUGACAUCCACAGAACUUUCCAGAGAUGGAUUGGUGCCUUCGGGAACUGUGAGACAGGUGCUGCAUGGCUGUCGUCAGCUCGUGUUGUGAAAUGUUGGGUUAAGUCCCGCAACGAGCGCAACCCUUAUCCUUUGUUGCCAGCGGUUCGGCCGGGAACUCAAAGGAGACUGCCAGUGAUAAACUGGAGGAAGGUGGGGAUGACGUCAAGUCAUCAUGGCCCUUACGACCAGGGCUACACACGUGCUACAAUGGCAUAUACAAAGAGAAGCGACCUCGCGAGAGCAAGCGGACCUCAUAAAGUAUGUCGUAGUCCGGAUUGGAGUCUGCAACUCGACUCCAUGAAGUCGGAAUCGCUAGUAAUCGUAGAUCAGAAUGCUACGGUGAAUACGUUCCCGGGCCUUGUACACACCGCCCGUCACACCAUGGGAGUGGGUUGCAAAAGAAGUAGGUAGCUUAACCUUCGGGAGGGCGCUUACCACUUUGUGAUUCAUGACUGGGGUGAAG